UACGAAGGGGGCUAGCGUUGUUCGGAAUUACUGGGCGUAAAGCGCACGUAGGCGGUGUUCCAUGUCAGCGGUGAAAGCCUGGGGCUCAACUCCAGAAUUGCCUUUGAAACGGGAACGCUUGAGUCCGAGAGAGGAUGGCGGAAUUCCUAGUGUAGAGGUGAAAUUCGUAGAUAUUAGGAAGAACACCAGUGGCGAAGGCGGCCAUCUGGCUCGGUACUGACGCUCAGGUUCGAAAGCGUGGGGAGCAAACAGG
This 253-nucleotide ribosomal RNA is filed under the name uncultured bacterium. Its description in RNAcentral is "partial 16S ribosomal RNA". It matches the Rfam family "Bacterial small subunit ribosomal RNA", at positions 524 to 776 of the family's 1533-position model. The record is from RNAcentral.